This 495-nucleotide ribosomal RNA is filed under the name uncultured bacterium. Its description in RNAcentral is "partial 16S ribosomal RNA". It matches the Rfam family "Bacterial small subunit ribosomal RNA", at positions 28 to 507 of the family's 1533-position model. The record is from RNAcentral.
GACGAACGCUGGCGGCGUGCCUAAUACAUGCAAGUAGAACGCUGAAGGAGGAGCUUGCUUCUCUGGAUGAGUUGCGCACGGGUGAGUAACGCGCAGGUAACCUGCCUGGUAGCGGGGGAUAACUCUUGGAAACGAUAGCUAAUACCGCAUAAGAGUAGAUGUUGCAUGACAUUUGCUUAAAAGGUGCAAUUGUACUACUACCAGUUGGUGCUGCGUUGUCUUAGUUAGUUGGUGGGGUAACGGCUUACCAAAGCGACGAUACAUAGCCGGCCUGAGAGGGGGAAUGGGCAAACCUGGAAUGGGACACCGCCCAGGCCCCUUCGGGGGGGAGCAGUAGGGGAUCUUCGGCAAAGGACGGAAGUCUGACCGGGGAACGCCGCGUGAGUGAAGGAGGUUUUCGGAACGGAAAGCUUUGUUGUAAGGGAAGAAAGAGUGUGGGAGUGGAAAGUUCACACUGUGACGGUAUCUAACCAGAAAGGGACGGCUAACUACGUG